AUGGCGGACAAGCCGAGCCGGGCGCUGGUGCUCUACGCCGCCGGCCACGCGGCGCUGCUCGCCGGGGGCGGAGGGGGGAAGGGCCACCUCGACGCGUUCGCCUCCAUCGCCUCCUGCGGCUUCCUCUCCGUCCGCACCCCCGCCGUCAACGAGGAUGGAGGGGACAAGAACAGCGGCACGAUCCUUGAGCUGGGGCAGCUGCUCGACGUGUGCGAUGCCCUCUAUCCUGCCAAGGAUGGGGAAGUUGCCCGGGUGGAUCCGCAGGAGCUAGUAGUCCCCAAGCUAUCCGAGAGGUUCAUGGGGCUGAGAGCUGCUAUGGUCACCAAUUGCCCCGGUGUUAGCUCAUUCGCGGCGAAUCUUGGUUUCCACGUUUUCGGAACUGAAGAUUUCGCCGCGCAGUCCGGUUCAGGCAGCAGUUCUAAGGACACUAGAAUAAUCGACCGGGCGUUCACUCUGCUGGGAUUUGCAGAGGGGAACGUCCAGGACGCGUCCGAAUUCGAUCUGGUGUUUGUGCAUGCCGCAAUGGAGAGCACAGCCAGCAAGCUCAGGAAAUUGGGGAUGAAGACGGAUCUCAACCGGCUUGACAAACUGGUGGCUUCAGUCAUGGAAGCUGCGCCGGUCGGUUCAGCUGUCGCCGCCCGUAUUCAUGUGUCUGUGAUCUUGAGCUAUGGAUCUGCAACAGAAAAUAAGGAAGAGGCGUGCCUCAUCGUAAACUCUUCAACCGAAACUGAUUCCGACUUGAAGUUACUCCGUCCACGCCAGAGCUACACUAUGAAAGCAGGAAAGACGUUGGAUGAUGUCAGGAAUCAUCAUCCAAUGCUACUGGCACAGUGGCAACAAGGAGUAACACGUUCUGAUUUGGCCAAAGAGUUCUCUUUUGAGGAAUUUAUAAAGCGUGCUGGAAACUUUGCUAUGCUUGCCGAGCGCUUUCUACAUGAGGUUGCAUUUAAGCUCUGGAAAGCGCCAAAAUAUGGAGCAUAG
RNAcentral lists this ribosomal RNA (981 nucleotides) under Triticum aestivum (bread wheat). RNAcentral's name for it is "partial small subunit ribosomal RNA". Lineage: Eukaryota; Viridiplantae; Streptophyta; Magnoliopsida; Poales; Poaceae. The record is from RNAcentral.